UAGGGAAUAUUAGAAAUGGACGAAAGUCUGAUCUAGCGACACCGCGUGUGCGAUGAAGGCCUUCGGGUUGUAAAGCACUUUUUGGAAGGAAUAGGAAGGAAGGUACUUCCAGAAUAAGUCUCGGCUAACUACGUGCCAGCAGCCGCGGUAACACGUAGGAGGCAAACGUUAUCCGGAUUUACUGGGCGUAAAGCGCGUGUAGGUGGUUCUGUAAGUAGGGCGUGAAAGCUCCCGGCUCAACUGGGAGAGGCCGUUCUAAACUGCAGAACUAGAGGAUGGUAGAGGGAGGUGGAAUUCCGGGUGUAGCGGUGGAAUGCGCAGAUAUCCGGAGGAACACCAGUGGCGAAAGCGGCCUCCUGGACCACUCCUGACACUCAGACGCGAAAGCUAGGGUAGCAAACG
RNAcentral lists this ribosomal RNA (402 nucleotides) under uncultured prokaryote. RNAcentral's name for it is "bacterial SSU rRNA". It matches the Rfam family "Bacterial small subunit ribosomal RNA", at positions 355 to 774 of the family's 1533-position model. The record is from RNAcentral.